AUGAGGCUGGGAGCACUGUUGGCGGCGAUGACCGUGAUCGGUACGUUUGGAGGGGGACUGGCAGGAAAUGUCGUGAUUACGCCGUUGCCAAAUGGGGUCCUUUUCAGGGAACUGGGCCCGGUAGUGUAUUCGUCGGAUGUUUUUGAAGUGGAAGUAAAUUUUAAUAUUUCAAUAUUGCAUGAACAAGAUGAGUGUUUGGAGGUAGAUUUUGCAAAUGUGGAAAAAGUGCUGAGUAGAAUUUAUAACAGUACCAAGGGAGCGUCGGACACGUUAAAUGCGACGUUGUCAAUGUUAAAAUCCGAAUUAGAGAGUUAUGAGUGGGAAAUGGAUGCAUUGUUGGGCCUAGUUUCGAAGAAAAGAGUUACGCGUGCCUGGUUCAAUGGCCUUGGAGCUGCAAUUUCUAAGGUGACGGGCCUGUUGGAUGAUUCCAGAGGUAAGGCGCUUGAUAAUGAGGUAAGUAUUCUCCAGGAGAACGGAGUGCAUAUGGAAGCAGAUGUGGAGAACAACAGAGUGGUGGUAAGGAAUAUUUUGGCAACACUGGAAAACGGGACGAGAUCGAUUGAAGUUUUGGCAAAGACUGUGGCCAAUCAUGAUGAUUGGUUUUUGGAGUAUUCAGAGGUUCAAAAAGUAGAGGAGGAACUUCAAUUGCUCUCGGCCUGGGUUACCAGGGUAAUCAUGGAAAGAAGAAAGCUGAGAGUUGGUCUAACGUGUGCCUUGAGAGGAGAGUUUUCGCCCGAGUUGAUCAGCCCAGGACAAUUUUUGGAGGUUUUGUCCACGAUUAAGGAUGGGGUGGGGGGAACACUGGCUUUAGUAGCUCCGGUAAAUGAAGAAUUUUUAAGAUCGUACUAUGAGAUGUGUGAUAUAUCGGUUAUGAGAGAGGGGGGAGGGUUGAAAGUGAUCAUUAAUGUGCCCCUGAAAGGGAACGAGGGGGACUUUUUGGUAGUAAAAAUUGAGUCGAUCCCAGUUUUUUCAGCAGAUUUGGAUGAAUUUGUUAAGUUAAGGCUGGGGGAAAUGAUGUUAGUUUCACGGGAUUUCAAGUUUUUCGCCGUAACAUCAGUUGAGUGGUUGAAAUCUUGCCGGAAGGGGGAGAGAGUCACGGUUUGUCCGGCGGAUUUGCCAUUGAUUUCGGCGGUAACCGGGGCUUGUGAAUAUUUUCUUUACGCGUCUUUACCAGCGAAAGAUUGCGGAAAGGAGGUUGUCCUAAAUUUUAAGGGUUUGUUUUUGAAAAUAAAUGGGGAUUGGCUAUUUUCGGUACAAAAUUUGACCAAGGUAAAUAUAAAUUGUAAAACAGAAAGGGGUUUUAAGUUCAUUUCAGGGGCGGGUCUCAUGUCAGGAGUGAAGGAGUGUGAGUUGACGUCGGAAAAUUUAAGACUUUUGGGGGAAGGCGAAUUAAGUCGGAACUACUUUUCCAGUGGUCGAACUCAUCGGUCCCCAUCGUGGGCAAUCAAUCGUUGUUAA
RNAcentral lists this long non-coding RNA (1458 nucleotides) under Bemisia tabaci. RNAcentral describes it as "lncRNA ENSSSA1NGG006525". Lineage: Eukaryota; Metazoa; Arthropoda; Insecta; Hemiptera; Aleyrodidae. The record is from RNAcentral.